Long non-coding RNA from Peromyscus leucopus (white-footed mouse), 590 nucleotides. RefSeq lists it as uncharacterized. The record is from RefSeq and is a predicted model, not a curated record. NCBI's taxonomy places the organism in Eukaryota, Metazoa, Chordata, Mammalia, Rodentia, Cricetidae. The transcript is spliced from 3 exons.
GGUUAUUAAACCGUGUUGAGCACUGAAGUUGGUUGCCAUUCUUUGCCACAGCUCAUUUGCUCUCUUCUGUCCAAAGAAAUACUAGAAGGUUAAAACUUAUCACAUAGGAGGGAUUAAUCACCCUCCCAAGUUAGAAAGCCGGAGUCAAAACUGGAUGGUCAUGGCACUUAAACUCAAUAGUUUAAAACCCAAUGGACUUCAGGAUGCCACAGCACCACUUAAAAUGGAAACUCCUGUCUGUAGAAACCCUUGAUAUGGGAAGCUGACUAUGGCUGGGUUCUUUUCUGAUUGCUUAGGGGCACCACUUUCAGAUAAAACAUAGACCUGAAUGGCAUCAUCCAGUAUCCAAGGAAACCAUCUUUACCCUUCGUAGAAGACCGGCAAGCGGAAAAACGUGACAGUAAGACUGAGUUAUGAACUUUGAAAAGUUGAGAACAAGUAACUACUUGUGCUGUGAAAGCAGGUCUCUCUGCUCUUGAUUAACUGUCUGCAAUAGGUCACUGGUGAGUCCUGUACACCCCGGCAACGAUUAUUGUAACAGACAGGCUGAGUAAAUCACCAAGGUUGGGUGGGGGACUCGCAGGGAUAAC